Molecule: ribosomal RNA, 1004 nt
Filed under: Escherichia coli
Lineage: Bacteria; Pseudomonadati; Pseudomonadota; Gammaproteobacteria; Enterobacterales; Enterobacteriaceae
Description: partial 23S ribosomal RNA
Rfam family: Bacterial large subunit ribosomal RNA
Source: RNAcentral
CCGGUAAACGGCGGCCGUAACUAUAACGGUCCUAAGGUAGCGAAAUUCCUUGUCGGGUAAGUUCCGACCCGCACGAAAGGCGUAACGAUUUGGGCACUGUCUCAACAACAGACUCGGUGAAAUUGUAAUUCCGGUGCAGAUGCCGGAUACCUGCGACAGGACGGAAAGACCACAUGGAGCUUUACUGUAGCUUGACAUUGGGUCUUGGUACUACAUGUACAGGAUAGGUGGGAGGCUUUGAACCCAGGACGACAGUUUUGGCUGAGCCAUCCUUGGGAUACCACCCUUGUAGUACUGGGACUCUAACCAUAGGCCAUGAAUCUGGUCUUGGGACACUGUCAGGUGGGCAGUUUGACUGGGGCGGUCGCCUCCCAAAAGGUAACGGAGGCGCUCAAAGGUUCUCUCAGUACGGUCGGAAAUCGUACGUAGAGUGUAAAGGCAAAAGAGAGCUUGAUUGCAAGACAUACAGGUCGAGCAAGGAUGAAAAUCGGACUUAGUGAUCCGGUGGUUCUGCGUGGAAGGGCCAUCGCUCAACGGAUAAAAGCUACCCUGGGGAUAACAGGCUUAUCUCCCCCAAGAGUCCACAUCGACGGGGAGGUUUGGCACCUCGAUGUCGGCUCAUCACAUCCUGGGGCUGUAGUAGGUCCCAAGGGUUGGGCUGUUCGCCCAUUAAAGUGGUACGCGAGCUGGGUUCAGAACGUCGUGAGACAGUUCGGUCCCUAUCCGUCGCAGGCGUAGGAAAUUUGAGAAGACCUGUCCUUAGUACGAGAGGACCGGGAUGGACGUACCUCUGGUGUACCAGUUGUCCUGCCAAGGGCAUGGCUGGGUAGCUAUGUACGGAAUGGAUAAGCGCUGAAAGCAUCUAAGCGCGAAGCCAACUUCAAGAUAAGAUUUCCCACCGCAAGGGUAAGACCCCAGAAAGACUAUCUGGUUGAUAGGUCGAAGGUGUAAGUGCAGCAAUGUAUUUAGCUUAUCGAUACUAAUAGGUCGAGGACUUGACCAAU